CGCCGUCCAGGCGGCAAGGCCGUGGCCUUACUGCCAGCUUGCCUCGCCAAACCGCUAGGGUCCUAUAGGCAGCGGGACUUUUCGGUGUGUCCCAGCGCCGGAGCGAACAGUGGGAUCGUCGUGCGAUGGAGGUAGUCAGAUGGAUUGUUCACCAGAGCUCACCUCUCGUUGGGGGCUUCACUAUGCCAGCGACCAGCCUUGUUCUCGCCUCUGCUAAUGGUGAGACCUCCCAUGGUUCUUCUUUGUUUUUUUUUACUUUGCUUAGCCUCUUAUCGAAGUACGGUUUGAACGCCGGGGUGUCCAGUUCGCUGAUGUCGCCGUAGGAGCACGAGGUGGAAGAAGACCUAGGAACCGUAGAUCAAAUAUCUGGGGCUGGGAUUGGUUGUGUGCAUGGAUAGUUUCUGGGCCGUUGAUCCGACGACGUCCGGUCUAGAUUAGAGUAUACUAUCCUUUUGUUCCGGACCGUUGAAUCUCAAUUGGGCGCCUCGGAUUAAAUCAACCACGAUCCCCCUUUUGUCGCAUUAAACCGGAGCCGCAGAUUUCCCGAUGAACGGUCCCGAUUUGCGCAUGAAUACCUCUUCGCGCGAUCGGAUCGGGGCCCUUGUUUUCUGAUCGGACGGCUCAGCCCGUCCGAUACCCCUUCGGCUAGUAAUCUUUAUGAAGAGCCCCUGUUCUUUUCUAGAUUUAACCCGCAGUCCAGAGAUCCUUUGUACUGAGUCAGGUAAACAUUGCGCUAGGGCCCCUGUAUUUUACAAAUUUUGAUGCCCAGUCCAGAGAAUUAGAAAAAUCCAUAAAAGUAAUUAGGAGAUGAAUUUUUAAUGUAAAAAUAAAUAAUAGAACUUGUUUAAUUCAUAUAAAAUUCUUAUUAAGUCAAAAUGAGUCCAUUCCAAUUCCUAUAAUUUUAUAAUAUUAUUUUUUAUCUACUAGUGUCUCUGUUUUGACAUGAAAAACAUAUUAAAAUUUGUCUCUUAAUUAAUCUUGUAUCAAACAAAUAAAAUCUUUGGAAAUUCAUAACUCCUCCAUUUUAAUUCCGAUUUGACUCGUUCCAGUUGCGUUAGUUUCGUAUAAGUAUUUAAUACGCAGUAACAACACUUAUUAUACCAUGUCUCAUUAUUUUAUAAUUGGAUCUGUAUUUAACUUAUGUUGGUUAGUCUUGUUAAUCUGCUCAUCUACUAAAACAUAAUCUAUGGUCAAUUCAUAAUUUAGAUUAAAGUUGAUAUAAUUAUUUAUAGUAUAAUCUCUUAUAUAAUUUAUACUAACCAAUUUAUAAUAUAAUUUAAUAUUUUAAUCAUACAAAUCUUUUAUAAAAUCAUAACUUGAAGACCGUAACUCCGAUCUUAGUAGUUCUCGAUCCCGCGAUCUCGUAGCUUCGUGUAGAUUAUUAUUAUUCAGUUUGUUAUUAUGUUUGGUGUGAUGUUAAUUUUUAUCUAUACCAUGUUUGUUUGUAUUGCUACGUCUAGUGCGAGGUUUCAAGUCACCUGAAGUUCACCCUGGUAACUGGAUCUCAAGUGCCAGGCAAGUUGUGCCCUUGAUCACUUACUUUUCCCAGCCAUGUUCUUAUUAAUUUUAAUGAUCUGCAUAGGUUAAUUUUGAUGGGAUCCUUUAUGUACCCCAGUUUUGAUUACCUCUAUACCUUGUUCACCCCUGAAAUAUUUUUGGGUAGUACUUGCUAUUGCUUUAUGUGGAUUGGGUAUGGAGAUACACUACUCAUGAUUAUCCUGUUAUUAUCUUGUUAAUAUUACUGUUCAUGUUAAGAUCAUUAAAUUAAUGGGAACAUGGAGCGACCACCCGGGAAAACAGUGCUACCACAAGGGUUUAAUGGGACGCCCUUGGCUGAUUAACUAGGAAAGCUAGUGGAGGUCUUCCUUACCCGAAAGGGGCAAGGGCAGUAGGGGAGUGGUCAGUGUAGGGAGGUCCUUGGGUUGAUUUUGCUGCGAUGGCGGUCAGGCAAGAACCCUGCACUGGAGCUUCCUAUAAACUGUAGCGGGAUUUCUAAAACUAGUGGAACUUUGUAAAGGCCUCGUAGUGUUACCCUGCCUCGCCUCCUCGGUAGAGGUGUAUGGGAUUGGCCAUCUCUUGGCAGAUGGGUAACAUGACUUGUGGGUAAAGAUGCGCAACCUCUGCAGAGUGUAAAACUGGUAUACUAGCCGUGCUCACGGUCAUGAGCGGCUCGGACCCUCACAUGAUUAAUUAUGGAACUUAAAUUUAAUUUGACAUUUGCAUCGCAUUUGGGAUUAUUUUACUAUUACUGUUCUUUAUUAUUAUUAAGGUUUGGUAUUUACUUACACUUAGUAAGUGCUAAUAAAAUUUGACCAACUUAUAAAAGCAAUGCUCAGCUUCAGCCUCUAUUUCAUUGAUCAGCCUUACACUACAUGAUCUCCCGCCUUUGGUGAGUUCAUGUCACAUUAUUCCCCACGACUUGUUGAGCUAUGAACGUAUGUGAGCUCACUCUUGCUGUCUCACACCCCCCCCACAGGAGAAGAACAGGUGGUCGAAGAGGAGCCGCCUAACGCAGAGGCAUUCGACUUGAUCUAGGUGGCGUUUCUCAGUUGACAUUGGCGUCAAUGAUCCUUAGUUCGUUUUAUAUUUAUUCUUUUACUUUGUAAUAAGUCUUCCGCUGUGUAAUAAAUACUCUGAUGUUAUUGACAUUUAUCUCUAUACACUCUGUUAUUAUAUAUGUUGUCUUCUUGGCGCAUGUAUGAGAUGCACCUGGCUUUGUUCCUUAAAGCCGGGUGUUACAGAAGUGGUAUCAGAGGAAUAUUGACUGUAGGACGAAACCUAUAUAGAAAUGGACAAAACCCUUACCUACUUAUCUUAUUCUGAUUCAUUCUACACUUACCUUACCCUGAUUCUUUCUACACUUAUCUUGAUCCUGUCUCACCUUCUACUGUUCUACUCUGAUCAUUCUUACCUUUUCUACUCUUAGACAAGAUGGAUUUCAUACCUUGGAAUCCCUACCCCUAUGACAUUUUUAAGAGUUAGGAAGCCUAAGACAAAAUUAAAAUUAUUUUCUCUAUUAAAAAUGUUGGUUGAUUGUUCUGAUGAUCAAUGCCUGAUUUGCUUCUUUGAUUGAUUGAAAUAUUAUAUGGACAUCUUAGCAUGUGCCAGAGUAUAAGGUAAUAAAUUAGCUAUGGUAGGUGACACACCAAUCUACUUAGCUAAUAAAUCCCCCGCAGUAACAUUCCUCGUAAUUACUCGCCUUGUCUACAAUCCUUUCUUUCUUACCCUGUGUUCCUAACCCUAAUAGGCUACCUCUAUAGUGUUAGAAGAGAGCACUAUAGACAUGAUCCUUGGUAUGUCAUGGUUAAGAAAAGCAAAGGCAGUAUAUACACCGUGCUAAGGGAACCAUAGAACUCACCAGUUCCAAAGGACAAAGAUUUGAAGUUGAAGUUGCAGUAACUACCACCAUCAGACUAGCGGCAUUCUUAGUAGAUGGGAAGUUUGUUGGUGUCAACAUCCGUGUGGUUAGAGAUUUUUCGGAUGUCUUUCCAGAGGAGUUACCAGGGAUGCCACCAUAUAGGGAAGUUGAGUUUGUUAUGGAUCUCUUACCUGGAACUGCCCCUAUUUCUAAACGGCCAUACAGGAUGUUCGUAGAAGAACUAAAGGAACUUAAGAAGCAGUUAACAGAGUUACAAGAGGCUAGGUACAUUCGUUCGAAUUCUUCACCUUGGGGAGCGCCAGUUCUAUUUAUACAAAAGAAAGAUGGAUCGCAAAAGCGUGGAUUAUAGGACCCUUAAUGAUGUCACUAUGAAGAACAAGUAUCCAUUACCCCGUAUUGAGGAUUUGUUUGAUCAGAUGAGAGGAGCCAGGGUAUUCUCGAAGAUUGAUCUCAGGUCGGGAUACCAUCAGAUGAGGAUUAGACCAUCAGAUAUUCCUAAGACGGCUUUCUCAACCCGAUAUGGAUUAUUUGGACAGAUUCGUCGUGGUGUUCAUCGACGAUAUUCUUAUCUAUUCUAGGAAUGAAAGUGAUCAUGAACAACAUCUAAGGUUGGUGCUACAAAAGCUGCGAGAUAAUCAACUCUACGCUAAGUUCAGCAAGUGCGAGUUUUGGAUUGACAAGGUGCCAUUCCUUGGUCAUAUUAUCUCUAAUGGAGGAAUAGCAGUGGAUCCUGCUAAAGUGAAGGAGAUUAUGGAGUGGAGAGUGCCCACUAUAGUUACUGAGGUCCGGAGUUUCUUGGGAGUUGCCGGAUAUUAUUGGAGAUUUAUUGAAGGAUUUUCUAAGGUUGCUAAGCCUAUGACCUUGCUUUUGGAGAAAGGAAGAGAAUUCAAGUGGGAUGAGAAGUGCCAAGAAAGCUUUGAUCAAUUGAAGGAGAGACUAAUGUCGCCACCAGUGUUGGUUAUGUCGGAUCUACAGAAAGGAUUUGACAUUAAUUGUGAUGCCUGUAACCAAGGCUUUGGAUGUGUACUUAUGCAAGAAGGUCUCGCGAUUGCCUACGUGUCUCGUCAGUUGCGGAAACACGAAUUGAACUACCCCACUCAUGACUUGGAAUUGGCAGCCGUUGUGCAUGCGCUUAAGAUUUGGAGACAUUACAUUAUGAGAACCAAGAGCCAAGUAUACAUGGAUCAUAAGAGUUUGAAGUAUAUAUUCACUCAGAAGGAUCUCAACCUUAGGCAACGCCGUUGGUUGGAGCUUAUUAAGGAUUACGAUUUGGAAAUUCACUAUCACCCGGGCAAGGCGAAUUUGGUUGUAGAUGCCUUGAGUCGAAAGGAGCACGUUCAUUCAGCUGUUGUUGCCCAGCUACCCGAUGAGAUUGUUGAGGAUUUUAGGAGACUUAACCUGGGGAUAGUUGUUCACACUGAAGGAGUAACUAUUGAUGCGGAACCUACCUUGGAGCAAGAAAUCCAUGGAAGGACAGAUUGGUGAUGCUAAGAUACAAGAGAUCAAGGAUAUGAUUACUGAAGGUCGAGGUCCAGAAUUUAUGGAAGAUGAGCAAGGCACCAUAUGGUUCAAGGACAGGAUAUGUGUUCCUGACAUUGAAAGCCUUCGUGAGACUAUACUGAAGGAGGUCCAUGACUCGGAUUAUUCUAUUCAUCCUAGGAGUACGAAGAUGUAUAAGGAUUUGAACUAGAAGUUCUGGUGGUAUGGAUUGAAGAGAGAUGUGGCUGCACAUGUGGCUAUGUGCGAUGUGUGUCAAAGAGUUAAGGCUGAACACCAGAGGCCAGUUGGACUACUGCAUCCACUGAAGAUACCCGAAUGGAAGUGAGAAGGGAUUGGUAUGGAUUUUAUUACUGGAUUGCCUCGCACCUCGAAGGGAUAUGAUUCUAUAUGGGUUAUUGUGGAUAGACUGACCAAAGUGGCUCAUUUCAUUCUAGUCAAGACUACGCAUAAGGGAUCUUAAUUGGCAGAGUUAUAUAUGGCUUGGAUUGUGUCUCUACACAGUGUACCCAAGAGGAUCAUUUUGGAUAGAAGAUCACAGUUUACCCCCAGAUUUUGGAAAAGUUGUGUUGACGCUUUUUUGGAGCGCCAAACACUCAACAAGAACCGUGGCGGUGCCUUCUGCACAGGGGCGGACGGUCCGCGCGCAGGGGCCGGACGGUCCGCGGCCUGGUGCGAGGCGCGGUAGUGCUCUCUGCGCAAGGGCGGACUGUCCGCGGCCUGGGGCCGGACAGUCCGCGGCCUGGUGCGCGGCUAGGGCUCCUGCCUGACGGCCGGACGGUCCGCGCCCUGAGGCCGGACGGUCCGCGCGUACGCAGGGACGGCGGAAGAUCGCCGACGGCGCCUGGAUCUCGCUCCCGGGAGGGACCCCGUCGGGGAGUAGAGAUCCUAGGUGGUGUCUAGGCUCGGGUAGACCGACCUAGACUCCUCUAAUCGACGUAGAGUCGAGGAGAGGCGGAGAAUUUGGGGGUUGGAAGGCUAAACUAGAACUACUCCUAAGAUAAAAUGCGAAAUAGAAGUUGUAUUAAUUCGAUUGUUGAUGGUUACAAAUCGGCCGUAUACCUCACUAUUUAUAGAGGAGGGGGGCUGGACCCUUUACAAACUAAUUUCCGAGCUUAUCCCAUGUUUUUAGCUAACAACCGUAGCACAAAACUCGGAACUCUAAUCUGUUCUGCGCACGCGCGGACCGUCCGGCCUCAGGGCCGGACCGUCCGCGCUCAAUUUUGGUUCGAACAUAUGCCCCCCUGCCUUUUGGUGGAGCUGAGCGAACCAAAAGCAACUAACUCGAUGUUAUCACAUCGGUUUUCUUAGGCAUCUUGCCACUUACUAGGAUGGUACGCAGUGGCCUUGGUCUCGAUGGUUGACUCAACGGACGUGAUCCCUUUAGAUUUGAUCGAACUGUCAGUCCCAACAUCGCCGAGCGUCAUACUGGUCCUGACCAAUUCGUCACCUUGCCUUCCUAAUUCUCUAAGUGUUCUGGCGUAGCUCCGUAGUCGACCAGGUCUUCUCCUUGUAGGUCGUCUUCCUCCAUGAGCGUCGGUACGUCAUCGGAGGUGUCUUGGUGUAGUGCGGAUGGUUCGGCCUCAGGGGUCGGAUGGUCCGCGUCCUGUGCAGAUGAUCCGGCCUUUAUAGCCGGACAGUCUACCAUACCUGCAGAGAGAUGCACAGUUGUUGUUUUAUUUACUAUCUUUGUGGCCGUUUGACUUUUCUCAACGGCCUUUGGUCUCCAUCUCUUUUGCGGUGGCGGAUACUGCGGAUGCGUGUCAUUGAAUAUUCUUUCUACCUCUUUUUCCUGAUUCUCCUUUGCUCUGAGGCGCUGUAAUUUUCGCUUUUGCGAUCGUGUCAAUCCCGAUGGACACCAUCGGGGCAUGGAGUAUUUUGGAUCGGCUAUUUUAUUGACAGUCGUACUUUCUUUUUUGUUGGUGUUGGCCGAUUCACCAAAAAUCAUCGGCCCUUCGUUAUUUUGUUGUACGAUGACAUCUGUCGCUCCUAUUUUAAUGACCUCUCCCUUUUUCGUACUGUUGGAGGUUAUAGCUGUAUGUCCCCCUGCCGGAUUAGUCAGCCUUUGGGGCUGAGUUGUUCGGCAAUCUUGCUGGGCCUGUGCUCGUGGACCAGAUUGAGGGGCUCUCAGUCGGUCUUGUACUGGAGGUGUCAACCUAUUGAAUACAGAUGUUUGGGGUGCCCCCCAAGCGGGGUACUGUGGCAUCCCAAAUGGAUAUGUUGGCAUGCCCCACAUUUGAUUUGGGACAUAUGGUGGAGGUAUGUAUGUGUAUGGAUAUGGCAUAGGUGGAUAUGGUGGUGGAGGUGUCCAUGCAGGUACGUUGGGUCUUAAUUGAACAUUAUGACCUUCCGUCCUUUCCGAUUGGUGUGGUGGUCCAAUCGGCCUAACCUGCCGUCGCACCUGGGUGGGUAAGCGAGGUCCCUUUGGUGGCCGGUCACUGGAGCCAGCCUUCUUUUUCACAUAUUUAGACAAUAAUUGAUCAAAGGUCGGGCUAGAUUUUACCAACCGACCAGUUGCCUUGAAUGUGUUAGUUUUCCACGUACCUAUUUCUGGUCGUCGUGGUUUGAAGGUACGUGGUUGCCGCGGCUCUUUGACGUUGCCGGACCGUCCGUCGGAACGCUUCGGACCGUCCGGUGAUGUUACGGACCGUCCGCGCCUAGACACCGGACCGUCCGCGAUGCGUAGUAUGGGUUCUCGCGCAUAUCCCCUUGUCUGUGCUUGCUCCCCAGCGCUGGAGUUUGUGAUGGUUACCUUCAGUGUCUCCCCUCCAUCAGGAGUCUUCUCGGCCAUCACUUUCCUGCAAGAAAUUUUGUUGUUUCCAUCGGCCUCCCGUGCGUUGCCGAUGAUGACUUCUUUGUCUUUGCCCUUAUCGGCUGUGUUGGGCCAAAUUAGGACCUUUUUGCCAUUAAAGUCGAUCACAUUCAUUGGGAAGGGCUCCGUUUCCUCCUGAAAUUUCAAUCGUCCCUCAUUAAUGGCCGAUUGAAUUUGUCGUCGGAACACAUUACAAUCAUUAGUGGCAUGUGAAAAUGAGUUGUGCCACUUGCAGUAUGCGCGACGCUUUAGUUCGUCGGCAGGUGGAACGAUAUAAUCAAUUUUAAUGUUACCAUUUUUUAGUAAUUCAUCGAAUAUCUUAUCACAUUUGCCGACAUUAAAUGUAAACUUAACCUCCUCUUGUCGUUCCUUUUGAACUGACUGCAAGGAGUAGCAAGCCGAAGAUUUGGCCUGCUCGGGCCAAACUAUUUCGGCAGUGUAAACUUUCUUUGGUUCAUCGUCCGAACUACUUUGAUUGUGUUCUACUAUAGGGACAUUAUGAUGAACCGUUCUGACUAGUUCUUUGCUUCGGCUUUCACAAGCCGAAGCUCUCUGAUGUAAUUGUGCUAGAGUAAAGAACUGGAUGCCUUCUAAUCUCUCUUUUAAAUAAUAGCGCAAUCCAUCAAAGGCUAUUCCCGCCAGUUGUUUAUCUGUUAGAUGAAUUUGAAAGCAUCGGUUUCUCGUAUCCUGGAAUCUCCGGAUAUAAUCACUAACCGAUUCAUCCUUUUCUUGUCGUAGGGUCACUAAGUCUACUAAAUCUAGCUCAUAAUCACCAGAGAAGAAGUGUUCAUGAAAUUUUUGCUCUAAGUCUCCCCAUGACAAAAUGGAAUUAGGAGGGAGCGUGGCAUACCAUGUGAAUGCAGUCCCUGUUAAGGAUAAUGAAAAUAAACGCACACGGAAUGCUUCGGUGUCAGCCAAUUCUCCUAAUUGUGCUAGGAACUGGCCUAUGUGCUCACGCGUGCUCUUUCCUUGGUCACCCGAAAACUUUGCAAACUCGGGUAUCCUAGUUCCCUGUGGGUAUGGGUGGUGAUCAAAUCGGCUGUCAUAAGGCUUCCGAUAUGAUUGCCCCCCAGGGAUCAUGCUUACUCCGAGCUUAUCUCGGAACGCCCCGGCUAUUUCUUCCCUCACUAUACCAAUGGCAGCCGGUGCAAGACCACCGGCUCUCUGGUCAAACAUAGGUGGGGUUGGUUGCAUGUUAGUAUGUUGUUGUUCCCCCCAUUGGUUUGAGCUACGUGGUGCAUUUCCAUUUGCGCUAUAUGGCUCAUAUGUUUGAUCGUUUCUUUCCGGCCUUCUUGGUGGGGCCGGGAAGCUUUCCUGGGCUCUGGAUCCUGAAUUAAUGGGCUGGUGCAUUGCAUAAUGUGAUGGGAAGUGUUGUUGGGACGGGCGAGGAUUCAGGUAAUAAUCCCCCUCAAAAGACUCAUGCGCGGACUGUCCGGAUACGUACCCGGACCGUCCGUGAUUAUAUGCGGACCGUCCGUCGUUGUAUGCGGACCGUCCGACUGGAUAGUUUAAAUUCGGUGCCCUAUGUGGUGGCUCGGGUGUGUGUCUAGGUAACUCAUUAAAAAUGGGCCCGACUGUGGCUGACCCGGACGGUCCGCGCUCGCGAGCGGACGGUCCGGACAUGUGUAGAUCGGCUGGUUUAUUGCCGAUUUGCGUUUGCUCAAGGUACGUGUCCAUCGGCAUCCCAUAAGGGGGUUGUGACUGGUCGUGACAACCUUUAGCCGAUGUAUUACGUGUAUUAUCUCCUAAUUCAACCUCGUGUGAAGGAAAAUUUGCUAUACUAGAUUUAUCAAAUGCACGUACUAGUCUCCUACAAUCGUUUUGCAUAACCCCUAUGAUAUUUUGCAUCUGUUCUCGCUGUUCGUCUAUGUAAGCUUUAAGAGAUUGGAGUUCGUUGGUGCUACUUACAUUUGGGGUAAUCGUAGUAGGUCGGAGCGAAGCCAGAUCUGUCGCCCGUUGUCGAACGACUUUGUUGUUCCUGUCCACUUUGAAGUCAGCCAGGAACUUCGCCUUUGCUUCUUGGAUCAACUGCUCCUGGCGCUCCUCGAACAGAAGUUGUUCUUCAGCCGGCAAGGCUUCCCAUGUCGGUGUGAUGAUAUUGCUGGUGGAAACCUCAGAGCUAUCUUUUGAACCGGCCAUUGAGGGCCGAUUUGAUAGGUCUAGAUGUGUUUUCCCCAGCGGAGUCGCCAAAAAGUAUGUUGACGCUUUUUUGGAGCGCCAAACACUCAACAAGAACCGUGGCGGUGCCUUCUGCACAGGGGCGGACGGUCCGCGCGCAGGGUCCGGACGGUCCGCGACCUGGUGCGAGGCGCGGUAGUGCUCUCUGCGCAAGGGCGGACUGUCCGCGGCCUGGGGCCGGACGGUCCGCGGCCUGGUGCGCGGCUAGGGCUCCUGCCUGACGGCCGGACGGUCCGCGCCCUGAGGCCGGACGGUCCGCGCGUACGCAGGGACGGCGGAAGAUCGCCGACGGCGCCUGGAUCUCGCUCCCGGGAGGGACCCCGUCGGGGAGUAGAGAUCCUAGGUGGUGUCUAGGCUCGGGUAGACCGACCUAGACUCCUCUAAUCGACGUAGAGUCGAGGAGAGGCGGAGAAUUUGGGGGUUGGAAGGCUAAACUAGAACUACUCCUAAGAUAAAAUGCGAAAUAGAAGUUGUAUUAAUUCGAUUGUUGAUGGUUACAAAUCGGCCGUAUACCUCUCUAUUUAUAGAGGAGGGGGGCUGGACCCUUUACAAACUAAUUUCCGAGCUUAUCCCAUGUUUUUAGCUAACAACCGUAGCACAAAACUCGGAACCCUAAUCUGUUCUGCACACGCGCGGACCGUCCGGCCUCAGGGCCGGACCGUCCGCGCUCAAUUUUGGUUCGAACAAGUUGUUAUGAGAAUAUGGAUGCAAAGUUGAAUUUUAAUUCGGCCUACCUCAGACUGAUGGACAGACUAAAAGGACUAAUCAAGUAUUGGAAGACAUGUUGAGAGCUUGUGUUCUUCAGCAUGGUAGUAGUUGGGACAAGAGUCUACUUUAUGCUGAGUUUUCAUAUAAUAAUAGUUACCAGGCCGGUCUAAAGAUGUUACCGUUCGAGGCUCUAUAUGGCUGAAAGUGUAGGACUCCUCUAUAUUGGAUCAGACUAAAGGUAGACAAUUCCUUGGACUUAAACUUAUUCAAGAGGCAGAAGAACAAGUAUGUAUAAUCAGGGAGAACUUGAGGGUAGCUCAAACCAGACAAAAGAGCUACGCAGAUAAUAGAAGAAGACCACUGGAAUUUGAGAAAGGUGAUUAUGUGUACCCCAAAGUGUCACCACUUCGUCGGAUGAGGAGAUUUAAAGUCAAGGGCAAAUUGUCCCCUCGCUUUAUUGGACCAUUCAGAGUUUUGUUAGGCGAGUUGGAGAGAUGGCCUAUCAACUCGAGCUACCAGAUAAUCUACCUGAUGUGCAUAAUGUAUCCCAUGUGUCUCAACUUAAGAAGUGUCUCCGUGUCCCUAAGGAACAGUUACCAAUGGAAAAGCUCAGUGUUCAUGAUGAUUUGACUUACACGAAGUAUCAGAUCAAGAUUCUUGAUACAUUGACUCGAGUUACAAGAAAUAAGGUAAUAAUGAUGUGUAAAGUGCAAUGGAGUCACCACGGUGAAGAUGAAGCGACCUGGGAAAGAGAAGAAGAGCUUCGUAUAGAUUUUCUCCAUCUUUUCCCCUCGUUCUUCUUAAAUCUCGAGGAUGAGAUUUCUGUUAAGGGGGGUAGGAUUUGUAAUACCCAAUUUGUAGAUAUAAUAUAAAAGGAGAAAAGUUAUUUUCCUUUAUCUAUAUGUGUGUUAUACCUACUUACUAUCACAAGUGAACACCUCAUUUAAAAACAAAGGAUUAAUAAAAGUCAUUAAAUUGUGCAUCAUGUUGGAGUUUAAUUGUUUGUGCAUUUAAUAAUAAAGAAAAUUUUAAUAAGGUUACAUUAAUGAUGUGAAUUGAGGAUUAAAACCUAAUUCAAAUCUUAGAAUUUGGGAAUAAAAAUGUAAAAAAGAAAUAUUAUUCAAUAUAAAAUAAUAUUAAAACUGAAUAACUUCACCACAUGCUGGUGUGACUAAAUUGCAUAGUUAACAUGAACUUGAAUUUGCACUUAAGUGGAAUUCAAAAUUUAAAUUCAAAUGAAUUAGGAAUAAAGAAGAAAGCAGAAAAAAAAACAAAUGAACCUCACCCCCGCAUGGCCAUUGAGAAAUUUCCCACGGCCCAUGUCCCUCACGUCCCCUUCCUAUUUUUUUCUCUUUUUUUUAUUUAUUUACUAGCUAGAAGCCACGUUAUCACACUUUCAUGAAAACGUCAUUCGAUAAAAUUAACCAGCACGUGCCCGUCUCCCACUCGAUUACCUGCACACACCGUCUGCCAUGCGGACCCCGGGUCCAGAAAUUACUUCAAUCCCAAGCUUGUAACAAACCCAGCGCUCCUGUAGACCGUGGAAGAUUCUGCGUAACCACCUACGACUCACCAGCCGAGCACCACCCGGCCAGAAUUCCUCGGACCCAGUUAUAUAAAUACCGACCCUCUAACAGCGCAUCCCAGCCUGUUGCGCCGUCCAGGCGGCAAGGCCGUGGCCUUACUGCCAGCUUGCCUCGCCAAACCGCUAGGGUCCUAUAGGCAGCGGGACUUUUCGGUGUGUCCCAGCGCCGGAGCGAACAGUGGGAUCGUCGUGCGAUGGAGGUAGUCAGAUGGAUUGUUCACCAGAGCUCACCUCUCGUUGGGGGCUUCACUAUGCCAGCGACCAGCCUUGUUCUCGCCUCUGCUAAUGGUGAGACCUCCCAUGGUUCUUCUUUGUUUUUUUUUACUUUGCUUAGCCUCUUAUCGAAGUACGGUUUGAACGCCGGGGUGUCCAGUUCGCUGAUGUCGCCGUAGGAGCACGAGGUGGAAGAAGACCUAGGAACCGUAGAUCAAAUAUCUGGGGCUGGGAUUGGUUGUGUGCAUGGAUAGUUUCUGGGCCGUUGAUCCGACGACGUCCGGUCUAGAUUAGAGUAUACUAUCCUUUUGUUCCGGACCGUUGAAUCUCAAUUGGGCGCCUCGGAUUAAAUCAACCACGAUCCCCCUUUUGUCGCAUUAAACCGGAGCCGCAGAUUUCCCGAUGAACGGUCCCGAUUUGCGCAUGAAUACCUCUUCGCGCGAUCGGAUCGGGGCCCUUGUUUUCUGAUCGGACGGCUCAGCCCGUCCGAUACCCCUUCGGCUAGUAAUCUUUAUGAAGAGCCCCUGUUCUUUUCUAGAUUUAACCCGCAGUCCAGAGAUCCUUUGUACUGAGUCAGGUAAACAUUGCGCUAGGGCCCCUGUAUUUUACAAAUUUUGAUGCCCAGUCCAGAGAAUUAGAAAAAUCCAUAAAAGUAAUUAGGAGAUGAAUUUUUAAUGUAAAAAUAAAUAAUAGAACUUGUUUAAUUCAUAUAAAAUUCUUAUUAAGUCAAAAUGAGUCCAUUCCAAUUCAUAUAAUUUUAUAAUAUUAUUUUUUAUCUACUAGUGUCUCUGUUUUGACAUGAAAAACAUAUUAAAAUUUGUCUCUUAAUUAAUCUUGUAUCAAACAAAUAAAAUCUUUGGAAAUUCAUAACUCCUCCAUUUUAAUUCCGAUUUGACUCGUUCCAGUUGCGUUAGUUUCGUAUAAGUAUUUAAUACGCAGUAACAACACUUAUUAUACCAUGUCUCAUUAUUUUAUAAUUGGAUCUGUAUUUAACUUAUGUUGGUUAGUCUUGUUAAUCUGCUCAUCUACUAAAACAUGAUCUAUGGUCAAUUCAUAAUUUAGAUUAAAGUUGAUAUAAUUAUUUAUAGUAUAACCUCUUAUAUAAUUUAUACUAACCAAUUUAUAAUAUAAUUUAAUAUUUUAAUCAUACAAAUCUUUUAUAAAAUCAUAACUUGAAGACCGUAACUCCGAUCUUAGUAGUUCUCGAUCCCGCGAUCUCGUAGCUUCGUGUAGAUUAUUAUUAUUCAGUUUGUUAUUAUGUUUGGUGUGAUGUUAAUUUUUAUCUAUACCAUGUUUGUUUGUAUUGCUACGUCUAGUGCGAGGUUUCAAGUCACCUGAAGUUCACCCUGGUAACUGGAUCUCAAGUGCCAGGCAAGUUGUGCCCUUGAUCACUUACUUUUCCCAGCCAUGUUCUUAUUAAUUUUAAUGAUCUGCAUAGGUUAAUUUUGAUGGGAUCCUUUAUGUACCCCAGUUUUGAUUACCUCUAUACCUUGUUCACCCCUGAAAUAUUUUUGGGUAGUACUUGCUAUUGCUUUAUGUGGAUUGGGUAUGGAGAUACACUACUCAUGAUUAUCCUGUUAUUAUCUUGUUAAUAUUACUGUUCAUGUUAAGAUCAUUAAAUUAAUGGGAACAUGGAGCGACCACCCGGGAAAACAGUGCUACCACAAGGGUUUAAUGGGACGCCCUUGGUUGAUUAACUAGGAAAGCUAGUGGAGGUCUUCCUUACCCAAAAGGGGCAAGGGCAGUAGGGGAGUGGUCAGUGUAGGGAGGUCCUUGGGUUGAUUUUGCUGCGAUGGCGGUCAGGUAAGAACCCUGCACUGGAGCUUCCUAUAAACUGUAGCGGGAUUUCUAAAACUAGUGGAACUUUGUAAAGGCCUCGUAGUGUUACCCUGCCUCGCCUCCUCGGUAGAGGUGUAUGGGAUUGGCCAUCUCUUGGCAGAUGGGUAACAUGACUUGUGGGUAAAGAUGCGCAACCUCUGCAGAGUGUAAAACUGGUAUACUAGCCGUGCUCACGGUCAUGAGCGGCUCGGACCCUCACAUGAUUAAUUAUGGAACUUAAAUUUAAUUUGACAUUUGCAUCGCAUUUGGGAUUAUUUUACUAUUACUGUUCUUUAUUAUUAUUAAGGUUUGGUAUUUACUUACACUUAGUAAGUGCUAAUAAAAUUUGACCAACUUAUAAAAGCAAUGCUCAGCUUCAGCCUCUAUUUCAUUGAUCAGCCUUACACUACAUGAUCUCCCGCCUUUGGUGAGUUCAUGCCACAUUAUUCCCCAUGACUUGUUGAGCUAUGAACGUAUGUGAGCUCACUCUUGCUGUCUCACACCCCCCCCCCACAGGAGAAGAACAGGUGGUCGAAGAGGAGCCGCCUAACGCAGAGGCAUUCGACUUGAUCUAGGUGGCGUUUCUCAGUUGACAUUGGCGCCAACGAUCCUUAGUUCGUUUUAUAUUUAUUCUUUUACUUUGUAAUAAGUCUUCCGCUGUGUAAUAAAUACUCUGAUGUUAUUAACAUUUAUCUCUAUACACUUUGUUAUUAUAUAUGUUGUCUUCUUGUCGCAUGUAUG
This 14931-nucleotide long non-coding RNA is filed under the name Zea mays. RNAcentral describes it as "long non-coding RNA (ZMAY_LNC000050)". The record is from RNAcentral. Lineage: Eukaryota; Viridiplantae; Streptophyta; Magnoliopsida; Poales; Poaceae.